This 64-nucleotide transfer RNA is filed under the name Dipodomys ordii (Ord's kangaroo rat). It matches the Rfam family "tRNA". Rfam says of the family: Transfer RNA (tRNA) molecules are approximately 80 nucleotides in length. Their secondary structure includes four short double-helical elements and three loops (D, anti-codon, and T loops). The record is from Rfam by way of RNAcentral. Lineage: Eukaryota; Metazoa; Chordata; Mammalia; Rodentia; Heteromyidae.
GGUGGCUCAGUGGUAGAGUGCUUGCCUUGCAUGCAUGAGGUCCUGGGUUUUUUCCUCAGCACCA